RNAcentral lists this ribosomal RNA (323 nucleotides) under uncultured Escherichia sp. RNAcentral describes it as "bacterial SSU rRNA". It matches the Rfam family "Bacterial small subunit ribosomal RNA", at positions 40 to 359 of the family's 1533-position model. Lineage: Bacteria; Pseudomonadati; Pseudomonadota; Gammaproteobacteria; Enterobacterales; Enterobacteriaceae. The record is from RNAcentral.
CGGCAGGCCUAACACAUGCAAGUCGAACGGUAACAGGAAACAGCUUGCUGUUUCGCUGACGAGUGGCGGACGGGUGAGUAAUGUCUGGGAAACUGCCUGAUGGAGGGGGAUAACUACUGGAAACGGUAGCUAAUACCGCAUAACGUCGCAAGACCAAAGAGGGGGACCCUCGGGCCUCUUGCCAUCGGAUGUGCCCAGAUGGGAUUAGCUUGUUGGUGGGGUAACGGCUCACCAAGGCGACGAUCCCUAGCUGGUCUGAGAGGAUGACCAGCCACACUGGAACUGAGACACGGUCCAGACUCCUACGGGAGGCAGCAGAAGGG